AAGUCGUAACAAGGUUUCCGUAGGUGAACCUGCGGAAGGAUCAUUAACCGUUACAAACAGUGUGUGCUGCGGCCCCCGGAGGCGAGGCAACGAGCCUUCCGGGAGGUAUGGGGUCCGCCCCUUCACGCGCACGCGUCUGCCAUCCUUACUUUACGAGCACCUUCUGUUCUCCCUCGGCAAGCGCCGUGCGCUGCCGUUGGAACUACAAAACUCUUUUUUUGCAUCUAGCAUUACCUGUUCCGACAAAAACAAUCGUUUACAACUUUCAACAAUGGAUCUCUUGGCUCUG
RNAcentral lists this unclassified non-coding RNA (289 nucleotides) under Pseudopithomyces sp. Its description in RNAcentral is "partial internal transcribed spacer region". The stretch from base 1 to 46 matches the Rfam family "Eukaryotic small subunit ribosomal RNA", at positions 1786 to 1831 of the family's 1831-position model. The record is from RNAcentral. Lineage: Eukaryota; Fungi; Ascomycota; Dothideomycetes; Pleosporales; Didymosphaeriaceae.